Small nuclear RNA from Suncus etruscus (white-toothed pygmy shrew), 107 nucleotides. The record is from RefSeq and is a predicted model, not a curated record. Lineage: Eukaryota; Metazoa; Chordata; Mammalia; Eulipotyphla; Soricidae.
GUGCUCGCUUUGGUAGCACAUAUACUGAAAUUGGAACAAUACAGAGAAGACUAGCAUAGCCCCUGCGCAAGGAUGACAUGCAAAUUAUUGAAGCGUAACAUAUUAAA